GAUGAACGCUGGCGGCGUGCCUAAUACAUGCAAGUCGAGCGAACAGACGAGGAGCUUGCUUCUCUGACGUUAGCGGCGGACGGGUGAGUAACACAUGGAUAACCUACCUAUAAGACUGGGAUAACUUCGGGAAACCGGAGCUAAUACCGGAUAAUAUAUUGAACCGCAUGGUUCAAUAGUGAAAGACGGUUUUGCUGUCACUUAUAGAUGGAUCCGCGCCGCAUUAGCUAGUUGGUAAGGUAACGGCUUACCAAGGCAACGAUGCGUAGCCGACCUGAGAGGGUGAUCGGCCACACUGGAACUGAGACACGGUCCAGACUCCUACGGGAGGCAGCAGUAGGGAAUCUUCCGCAAUGGGCGAAAGCCUGACGGAGCAACGCCGCGUGAGUGAUGAAGGUCUUCGGAUCGUAAAACUCUGUUAUUAGGGAAGAACAAAUGUGUAAGUAACUAUGCACGUCUUGACGGUACCUAAUCAGAAAGCCACGGCUAACUACGUG
Molecule: ribosomal RNA, 497 nt
Filed under: uncultured bacterium
Lineage: Bacteria
Description: partial 16S ribosomal RNA
Rfam family: Bacterial small subunit ribosomal RNA
Source: RNAcentral